GCUCUAUACCCACCUGGCUCCUCACUGGCCUGUGACCUCAUACAGGUCAAUGGACAUCAGUCUUGGGGUGGGAAGGAUGGAAGCUGCCUCUAGCUGGCCUGGAGGAGAGGGAGCUGGGGGAGGAAGACAGGCCUGACUUCUGACACGUGAGUCAACAACGCCCGCAUUGUUGGAGCCAGUUUGAGCCAGCUUUCUGUUACUUGCAACCAAAAGAAUCCCAGAAAUUACAUACUAUACUGAAAUCUACCUUAAACACUGCAAGCAAUAAAAAGGAAGAAACUGGAGCUGGUGUUGAAAGGAAAUUAAACCAAGGAGAAUUUCUGUGAACAAAGGCUCUGAGGUUAGGAGCAAAGGCAAAUGCUUCCUGAAUAUCCCUUCCAUUUUCUUUGAAUCCAUGUGAAGCAGAGCGUAGUUCAUUCGGGUUAAUGACCCCAUUGAAAAAACCUGUCUCAGCCCCUGCUGUCUUCUGGAGUCCUCCAGCCAUCUUGGGGGUUCUGUCUCCUGGGCACCUGCUCUUGAAGGGAUGACUGUCCAAGGAUAGAUUGCGGGUGUGCUGGUGGAGAGUGUCAGGUUUAAUUAAAGAGAAACACUUAGAUCUGGUGUUUUACAAGGAAGUGUCCGAGCGUUCAGGGACCUCUGUUGCCCAGUGCGGACGCCUGAUCUCGACCGCUUUCGGGGGAGCGGCGCCCAAGACCCGGCCACCCUGACUCGCCACUUUGCGGAGUGCCUCCCCCACGCGCGCUCGCGGCCGGCGUCCCGCCCCCACCCGGUUUCUGCUCCCUUCUUCC
Bos taurus (domestic cattle) is the source of this 788-nucleotide long non-coding RNA. Lineage: Eukaryota; Metazoa; Chordata; Mammalia; Artiodactyla; Bovidae. The record is from Ensembl.